This 468-nucleotide ribosomal RNA is filed under the name uncultured bacterium. Its description in RNAcentral is "partial 16S ribosomal RNA". It matches the Rfam family "Bacterial small subunit ribosomal RNA", at positions 28 to 507 of the family's 1533-position model. The record is from RNAcentral.
GACGAACGCUGGCGGCGUGCUUAACACAUGCAAGUCGAACGGAAAGGCCCUGCUUUUGUGGGGUGCUCGAGUGGCGAACGGGUGAGUAACACGUGAGUAACCUGCCCUUGACUUUGGGAUAACUUCAGGAAACUGGUGCUAAUACCGGAUAGGAGCUCCUGCUGCAUGGUGGGGGUUGGAAAGUUUCGGCGGUUGGGGAUGGACUCGCGGCUUAUCAGCUUGUUGGUGGGGUAGUGGCUUACCAAGGCUUUGACGGGUAGCCGGCCUGAGAGGGUGACCGGCCACAUUGGGACUGAGAUACGGCCCAGACUCCUACGGGAGGCAGCAGUGGGGAAUAUUGCACAAUGGGCGGAAGCCUGAUGCAGCAACGCCGCGUGCGGGAUGACGGCCUUCGGGUUGUAAACCGCUUUCGCCUGUGACGAAGCGUGAGUGACGGUAAUGGGUAAAGAAGCACCGGCUAACUACGUG